GGACUACCGGGGUAUCUAAUCCUGUUUGAUCCCCGCACUUUCGGGUCUGAGUGUCAGUGUUGGGCCAGAUCGCCGCCUUCGCCACCGGUGUUCCUCCAGAUAUCUACGUAUUUCACCACUACACCUGGAAUUCCACGAUCCUCUCCCACACUCAAGCUUCGCAGUAUCAAAAGCACUUCCUGGGUUAAGCCCAGGGCUUUCACUCCUGACUUACAAAGCCACCUACACCCGCUUUACGCCCAAUGAUUCCGAGCAACGCUUGGACCCCUCGUCUUACCGCGGCUGCUGGCAC
RNAcentral lists this ribosomal RNA (292 nucleotides) under uncultured bacterium. RNAcentral's name for it is "partial 16S ribosomal RNA". The record is from RNAcentral.